Molecule: non-coding RNA, 378 nt
Organism: Arachis ipaensis
Lineage: Eukaryota; Viridiplantae; Streptophyta; Magnoliopsida; Fabales; Fabaceae
Source: RefSeq, a predicted model, not a curated record
UAUCCGCAUGGUUGGUGAGAGUGCUGACAGUGUUGGUGCUACUGGAGGCUCAGGUACUAGCAGCAAUAAGAUGCCAACUUUGGAGGAGUAUGGCACAAAUUUGACUAAGUUAGCAGAGGAGGGAAAAUUGGAUCCUGUUGUCGGAAAGUAGCAACAAAUUGAACGUGUCACUCAAAUUUUAGGUCGUCGUACCAGAAACAACCCUUGCCUUAUUGGAGAACCUGGUGUUGGGAAGACAACUAUUGCUGAAGGUCUUGCCCAAUGUAUUGCAAAUGGGGAUGUUCCUGAAACCAUAGAGGGAAAGAAGGUUAUAACCCUUGAUAUGGGACUGCUUGUAGCUGGAACUAAAUAUCGUGGAGAAUUUGAAGAGAGGCUGAA